This 1820-nucleotide ribosomal RNA is filed under the name Staphylococcus aureus VET0078R. RNAcentral describes it as "bacterial LSU rRNA". It matches the Rfam family "Bacterial large subunit ribosomal RNA", at positions 840 to 2660 of the family's 2925-position model. The record is from RNAcentral. Lineage: Bacteria; Bacillati; Bacillota; Bacilli; Caryophanales; Staphylococcaceae.
UGGAGAUAGCUGGUUCUCUCCGAAAUAGCUUUAGGGCUAGCCUCAAGUGAUGAUUAUUGGAGGUAGAGCACUGUUUGGACGAGGGGCCCCUCUCGGGUUACCGAAUUCAGACAAACUCCGAAUGCCAAUUAAUUUAACUUGGGAGUCAGAACAUGGGUGAUAAGGUCCGUGUUCGAAAGGGAAACAGCCCAGACCACCAGCUAAGGUCCCAAAAUAUAUGUUAAGUGGAAAAGGAUGUGGCGUUGCCCAGACAACUAGGAUGUUGGCUUAGAAGCAGCCAUCAUUUAAAGAGUGCGUAAUAGCUCACUAGUCGAGUGACACUGCGCCGAAAAUGUACCGGGGCUAAACAUAUUACCGAAGCUGUGGAUUGUCCUUUGGACAAUGGUAGGAGAGCGUUCUAAGGGCGUUGAAGCAUGAUCGUAAGGACAUGUGGAGCGCUUAGAAGUGAGAAUGCCGGUGUGAGUAGCGAAAGACGGGUGAGAAUCCCGUCCACCGAUUGACUAAGGUUUCCAGAGGAAGGCUCGUCCGCUCUGGGUUAGUCGGGUCCUAAGCUGAGGCCGACAGGCGUAGGCGAUGGAUAACAGGUUGAUAUUCCUGUACCACCUAUAAUCGUUUUAAUCGAUGGGGGGACGCAGUAGGAUAGGCGAAGCGUGCGAUUGGAUUGCACGUCUAAGCAGUAAGGCUGAGUAUUAGGCAAAUCCGGUACUCGUUGAGGCUGAGCUGUGAUGGGGAGAAGACAUUGUGUCUUCGAGUCGUUGAUUUCACACUGCCGAGAAAAGCCUCUAGAUAGAAAAUAGGUGCCCGUACCGCAAACCGACACAGGUAGUCAAGAUGAGAAUUCUAAGGUGAGCGAGCGAACUCUCGUUAAGGAACUCGGCAAAAUGACCCCGUAACUUCGGGAGAAGGGGUGCUCUUUAGGGUUAACGCCCAGAAGAGCCGCAGUGAAUAGGCCCAAGCGACUGUUUAUCAAAAACACAGGUCUCUGCUAAACCGUAAGGUGAUGUAUAGGGGCUGACGCCUGCCCGGUGCUGGAAGGUUAAGAGGAGUGGUUAGCUUCUGCGAAGCUACGAAUCGAAGCCCCAGUAAACGGCGGCCGUAACUAUAACGGUCCUAAGGUAGCGAAAUUCCUUGUCGGGUAAGUUCCGACCCGCACGAAAGGCGUAACGAUUUGGGCACUGUCUCAACGAGAGACUCGGUGAAAUCAUAGUACCUGUGAAGAUGCAGGUUACCCGCGACAGGACGGAAAGACCCCGUGGAGCUUUACUGUAGCCUGAUAUUGAAAUUCGGCACAGCUUGUACAGGAUAGGUAGGAGCCUUUGAAACGUGAGCGCUAGCUUACGUGGAGGCGCUGGUGGGAUACUACCCUAGCUGUGUUGGCUUUCUAACCCGCACCACUUAUCGUGGUGGGAGACAGUGUCAGGCGGGCAGUUUGACUGGGGCGGUCGCCUCCUAAAAGGUAACGGAGGCGCUCAAAGGUUCCCUCAGAAUGGUUGGAAAUCAUUCAUAGAGUGUAAAGGCAUAAGGGAGCUUGACUGCGAGACCUACAAGUCGAGCAGGGUCGAAAGACGGACUUAGUGAUCCGGUGGUUCCGCAUGGAAGGGCCAUCGCUCAACGGAUAAAAGCUACCCCGGGGAUAACAGGCUUAUCUCCCCCAAGAGUUCACAUCGACGGGGAGGUUUGGCACCUCGAUGUCGGCUCAUCGCAUCCUGGGGCUGUAGUCGGUCCCAAGGGUUGGGCUGUUCGCCCAUUAAAGCGGUACGCGAGCUGGGUUCAGAACGUCGUGAGACAGUUCGGUCCCUAUCCGUCGUGGGCGUAGGAAA